UAGGGAAUCUUCCGCAAUGGGCGAAAGCCUGACGGAGCAACGCCGCGUGAGUGAUGAAGGUCUUCGGAUCGUAAAACUCUGUUAUUAGGGAAGAACAACUGUGUAAGUAACUAUGCACGUAUUGACGGUACCUAAUCAGAAAGCCACGGCUAACUACGUGCCAUCAGCCCCGGUAAUACGUAGGUGGCAAGCGUUAUCCGGAAUUAUUGGGCGUAAAGCGCGCGUAGGCGGUUUUUUAAGUCUGAUGUGAAAGCCCACGGCUCAACCGUUGAGGGUCAUUAGAAACUGGAAAACUUGAGUGCAGAAGAGGAAAGUGGAAUUCCAUGUGUAGCGGUGAAAUGCGCAGAGAUAUGGAGGAACACCAGUGGCGAAGGCGACUUUCUGGUCUGUAACUGACGCUGAUGUGCGAAAGCGUGGGGAUCAAACAGG
This 429-nucleotide ribosomal RNA is filed under the name Actinomycetes bacterium. RNAcentral describes it as "Actinobacteria bacterium partial 16S ribosomal RNA". It matches the Rfam family "Bacterial small subunit ribosomal RNA", at positions 355 to 776 of the family's 1533-position model. The record is from RNAcentral. Lineage: Bacteria; Bacillati; Actinomycetota; Actinomycetes.